CAAUUUGGAGUGGUCUGCCUCCGUCUUCAGUCUCUCCUUGCUCUCCAUGGACACAGGCCAGUUUUGAAUUUCACCUGGGAAAUCCCAGGACCGUGAACCAACAGACACCCUACCCUGACACCGUCCAAGCUGUACAUGACUCCCUUUACUUCUUCACCCUGAAGAUGUUGCAAACAGUAUGGAAAGAAGCACCUCGGAGAGAGGAUUGUAGACGGCAUCACAGCAACAGCCCCCUUAGUCACGCCUUAAUACUGGAAUGCGUAUACAUCUUUAGUCUUGCUUCAAUAACGCUUGUCAGCCUCAGGCUCCAUGAAAACCGCCGCAUCCAAUGUUUGUUUUGUCUGUUAAUUUAUAACAUUUGGGGCCAGAUGUGAAUUGAAAAUCCUUCACCAAACUGUCAAAAGCAACAAUUAAAAAAUCUUCUCCAGGAAUUGCCACAGCAGUCACUCCAUUCCAGAUGUAGGACGGAAAGCGCACGAAAACGACAGGGCUGUGAGUUCCCGCGGCCAGGUUUCCAGCAGGACGAGCGCAGAGCGGCGGCCGACGACAUCUCGCGGCAGGCCUUGCUGUCCCGCGAGAGGUUUCCCGAUGGGUAGUUAUCUGACUUCCGGCUUCUCGCGGAUCAUAACCUUUCCUAGAGAGUCUGAGUUGCCUCGGAUAAUGAAGUUUCCAAAAUUUCCGUUUGGUGUUCCCCGAUGAAAAUGCUUGUUCACCAAGAGUCAGAGAUAAUAAAAUAUUUCAGCAAGUCUGUAAGAAGUGGGACACUAUUUCCACGUUCCAGGAAUCAUCCGUCUACUGUAAUAUCAACAUGAAUCAACUUUCUAAGAAUUGUCAAAUCUGGACCUUGACAACAUUAAGUCUGUGGACCAAUGGAAAAUAUUAACAAUUCACACAAAAAAUAUGUGUUGGUCGCCUAAUGUCUAUGAAGUACUGGGGACAAAAGAUGAUGAGAGAAAAUAUUCAAGGGAAGUUGAUAAUUUGCAUCCUUAUAUUACUGCCUCAUGUUUAGAUUCCUUCCAAAAAUUAGAAUCUGUUCAACAGUUAAAACUAUGCUGAUCUUAUCAUCAUGAACUCAUACCUUUAUUUGUAUUGUGGAUUGUUGUCAGGGAAUACCCCUAUACUCAGCAAGAAGUUCUGCAAGGAAGGGUCGUAAGACAUGCCACAGUGAGUGGAGAUAAGAGUAACAUUAUGUUCCAAGUCGUCAAGCCUUUUAAUUCUCUAGGACAGUUUUACAGUUCACAAGUCUAGUGAAUCCUUAGACUGUCAAUAAAGAUUUAUAGAAAAUCACUACCUAAGCACAGGUACUCCAGUGUAAAAAAUGUCAUUCUAUUUUACCGCAAAUCAUACCUACUGGGAUUCUGCCUCCUUGUUAUUUUGCUUGUUUUUGAGGCCUACACUGACUUAAUCCUGUUGAGAAAGGAAAUCUAAAUACUUUCACAACAAAGAAGAGGCUCUAGAAGCUCUCCAGAGGCCUUGACAAAUGAAUAUCAAUAGAUUUCCUCUAAAAGAAAAUAUUCUGUAUGUGAGAACUUUACUGAAAUAUAACCAAUUUAUCAUGGUUCCCCCCUUUUAUAUUAGCUUAUUUAUAAUAUCAUUUCACAGACAUGGUUCUGGCCUUGAAAAAUAUACGUCCUCACUUUAUAAUAUGUUGUCAAAGGUUAAAAAUUUUAAUUUGAAAAUAAAAAAGGAAUAUGGACAAUAUAUCACUAUUCAAAUUAUUUUCAAAUCCUUUGGUUUUGUUUGUUGGCAUUAGAAAUAUUAAAUUCUGUAAAAAAAGGCCGCCUCAGGAUUAUCUUCAUAUAAGGUUUGUAGCACAGAGAGUAACUGACAAGGCGUAUACAGAGACACACAGUCAACCACAUUAUGAUUGAUUUUGUUUUUAGUGAAAAUGGCAGUUGGUUAUGCCUUAAAGCUGGAAGCAUUGGCAGAAGAUAUGCUGAUACUUUGACAGUACAGGGAAGUGACACGAUAGAUAGGACUAGGCCAAAACCCACUCAAUAAAUACAUGACUAGUUUGGGACUGUUAGUCCCACAACAGACGCUGAUUAUGGGCAAUCAGUAGUUCCAAGGUACAAAUACUAAGAGAUAUAGUGGUCUCCACUGUAAUUCAAGUGGUUAUAAACAAACACCUUUAAGAUUUAUCCAGGGUGUGAGGUAGAGCAGAGGCAAAUCCAUUGUUCUGUCAAAUAUUGAACAAUAGGUGGGCAGCAAUCAGGAUUCUGAGAGAGAUUUACAUAAGAAGAAGUGGGAGCAGAUGCAGCUGUGGGGGAUGCUGGAGUCACCAAAGGCAAGGAACCUGGUAAGAACUAGCUAGUUUGCUAGAGUGCGACCAAGGGUGCAGUGCUGAGGGAUUGAAUGCUAGUCAUAGUGGUGAAUCACGGUAUUAGCCCAGGAAAUUAGGACAAUUGGAGUCAGAGUAGCCACUGAGGAAAAAGGUGAAAGCAAUAGGAAAAAUGGAAAAUGUUUUGCCUCAAUCUGUUUAUGAGCCUGAGGCUAGCACCUGGGUAGUGGAUCAUCAAUCAUCUUUCAACUAAAAAUGAUUUGGCUAAGGAAAAGUUAAAGGUCAUUUUAGGUUAUUGAUAAGCUAUGUAAAACUGGAGGCCGUCAAUUUACGGAGGCACUGUACUUUGGUUUCUUAUGAUUUUCUAAAGCAUAUGCCAAAAAAUGGUUAAUGGUAAGACUGACUGAGCAUGUUGUAUGCUUGGGCCAGUAAGUAUAACAGGUGAAAUAAUUGAUAAUAUAAUUAUUAAUGGAAUGUCUCACUUCCCAUCCACCAUGACACUGAGGUCCCUGGUGACCUAGUGAUUGUUAAUAGACUUCUACCAUAGGACAUUUAACUAAAUUGUUAAAAUGAAUUAAAAUCGCUUGGUGACUGACUGCAGUGUGGUCAGUCUAAUUAACAAUCUAGUUUGUGCAGGAAGAUACCCUCACCCUUUAUUGAACUUCUAAAUUUGCAUUAUAUAGUCACUGCUGUACGGCUCCAUGUUGGUUAAAAAAAUAAAAAAUAGCAUGGGAGAGAAAAAAUACAGUGAAAAGGUCUAGCUAUAAUUAUUUUCUCUGUUUUGCUUUGCAGACCAUUAAUACCACAGAGUUUGAAAUCUAUUCUUGAAAAGGUUUAACUGAACUUUUAGCAAUGUAUUUUGAACAGUAUUUUUGAGGGGCAGUUCAAAAUGAUGGAUAGCUUUUGCAAAGAUUAAAAAUUAAAAUUAUUAAGUGUGUCCUUGGGAAGAAUCGUUCAGAGAGGAUGCUACCAUUCAGUCUAGUUUCCAAACUCAAUAGUUUAUGAAUACAAAUAUUUUUAUGAAUCACUGGAGGAAAAUAAAGCUUUCCAAAACUAAGACAUGAUAAAAAUUAAUUGUAUUUUUAAAUGUUUCUAAUG
RNAcentral lists this long non-coding RNA (3379 nucleotides) under Equus caballus (horse). Its description in RNAcentral is "lncRNA (ENSECAG00000048090.1)". The record is from RNAcentral. Lineage: Eukaryota; Metazoa; Chordata; Mammalia; Perissodactyla; Equidae.